GCUGGUGGAGUUGGACUGCAACUUGGAAUAGAACACUCGCAGCUGCUUGAUUCGUCCUAUUGCUUGAAGAAGCUGAUAUGGUUAGGCCUGAUGAGCGUAUGAGGUAUAUGUCAUACAAGCACAUUAGUGAUUAGUGAACAAAGGGUAUGACCUUGAAGUAAUUGAUAUAGGUCUUUGAAUCCAUUUGAUCUUCAAUUGGAUUGUAUGGAUGUAAUAUUAAUAAUUUUGUUUUAAUGAAUUUUUAAUAUUGAUAUAGGUCUUUGAAUCCAUUUGAUCUUCAAUUGGAUUGUAUGGAUGUAAUAUUGAUUGUCUUUUACUAAUUUAAAGACGGGA
RNAcentral lists this long non-coding RNA (333 nucleotides) under Trifolium pratense (red clover). RNAcentral describes it as "long non-coding RNA (TPRA_LNC006140)". The record is from RNAcentral. Lineage: Eukaryota; Viridiplantae; Streptophyta; Magnoliopsida; Fabales; Fabaceae.